Molecule: ribosomal RNA, 755 nt
Filed under: uncultured bacterium
Lineage: Bacteria
Description: bacterial SSU rRNA
Rfam family: Bacterial small subunit ribosomal RNA
Source: RNAcentral
AUUGAACGCUGGCGGCAGGCUUAACACAUGCAAGUCGAGCGGAAACGAUGGUAGCUUGCUACCAGGCGUCGAGCGGCGGACGGGUGAGUAAUACUUAGGAAUCUACCUAGUAGUGGGGGAUAGCUCGGGGAAACUCGAAUUAAUACCGCAUACGACCUACGGGAGAAAGGGGGCAACUUGUUGCUCUCGCUAUUAGAUGAGCCUAAGUCGGAUUAGCUAGAUGGUGGGGUAAAGGCCUACCAUGGCGACGAUCUGUAGCUGGUCUGAGAGGAUGAUCAGCCACACCGGGACUGAGACACGGCCCGGACUCCUACGGGAGGCAGCAGUGGGGAAUAUUGAACAAUGGGGGCAACCCUGAUCCAGCCAUGCCGCGUGUGUGAAGAAGGCCUUUUGGUUGUAAAGCACUUUAAGCAGUGAAGAAGACUCCGUGGUUAAUACCCACGGACGAUGACAUUAGCUGCAGAAUAAGCACCGGCUAACUCUGUGCCAGCAGCCGCGGUAAUACAGAGGGUGCAAGCGUUAAUCGGAAUUACUGGGCGUAAAGCGAGCGUAGGUGGCUUGAUAAGUCAGAUGUGAAAUCCCCGGGCUUAACCUGGGAACUGCAUCUGAUACUGUUAGGCUAGAAUAGGUGAGAGGAAGGUAGAAUUCCAGGUGUAGCGGUGAAAUGCGUAGAGAUCUGGAGGAAUACCGAUGGCGAAGGCAGCCUUCUGGCAUCAUAUUGACACUGAGGUUCGAAAGCGUGGGUAGCAAACAGG